RNAcentral lists this long non-coding RNA (1895 nucleotides) under Nicotiana tabacum (common tobacco). RNAcentral's name for it is "long non-coding RNA (NTAB_LNC019293)". The record is from RNAcentral. Lineage: Eukaryota; Viridiplantae; Streptophyta; Magnoliopsida; Solanales; Solanaceae.
CUAUUGCAUUAUUUAUACUUGAAAAAACAUGUUAGAUAUUUUAUUUUUUACGAGUUUUCUUAUCUUUUUAUUUUUUUAAAAUUUUAAUGUACUUUUUAUUGUCCGCAUUAUUAUACUAUUUUGUAAAUUAAAAAUUAAAAUAUUAUGUUUAUUCAAUAAAAAUAUAACUAGCACCUGUUAAAUGUUGAAUUUAAAAACAAAGUAAACAAAAUUAAAAAAAAAUAUACAAACAGAGACCAUUUAUGUUUGCAUAAUUGCUAACCAAAAGUUAGCGAAUUGUUAAACCCAAACGGCCGAAACCUCAAAGCCCUAACAUAUUGGGGAUUCUAAAAUUGGCUCCAUCUUUUACCAAACUUAGUCUAAUUUUAGUCAAAUUUGAUUUCCAUCACCGCAAUAUACUCCCUCUCUACAAAUUGUGCUAUGUAUGGAGAGUAUGAGAGAUUUAGAAGGAAAAGAUUUUGGCGGUAAGAAUUUUUGGAUUCCCUCCUCCUAAUUCUAAAAUUACAGUUUCCUUUAUUAGUUAGAACUCGACAACCUAAUUUUGCAUAUUUAAUUGGAGGUUUAAGGAAACAGAGAAAGGGAGGCAAGCUAUUGGAAGAACAUUGAUGUAGGGUUCAGACUCUUGGUGAGGCUUUUGCAGGUUCUUAUCUGUCUUCUGUUUAAUUUAAUACUAUGUAAAUCUAAUUAUUUGUAGUGUAAUAGUUAAAAAAAGUAUUUUUGUGUUUGAUUUAAUAAUCUCCCUCUUUGUGAUAGGUUUUUGAUAACUCACAUGAAGAUCACCAACAAUAAUUAUCACCGGUUUCAGUUGUUCACAAAAAUAAGGUGAGUUUUAGAUCAAAGUUACGAGUUAAUUGCCCAAGUGUUAUAAUCUCGUAUUUGAGCAAAAUAUGUGGGAGUUUAACUGUCGAUAUAUAAGAUAUAUAGCAAAUUACGUAGUGUGGCUGUAACCUGUUUGAGUUGUAGUGCAAACUAAUUUCGAACAAUAGCUUUAUACCUCACUUAGAAUGCAUUUGUGGAAAACUACAUUCAUACUCAUCUCCACCAUUCCUUUAUUUCUCUUCUAUUUAGACAAAUGCAAAAUUCAGUCUUAUAUCACCAUCAGAUUCAUUAUAUUUAUUCUUAUUUAUUCUAUUGUUUGGAGAAUUGAGAUUAUCUUAUAAAUUUGUGAAACUCAAAUCUUUUCGGGUUACUAGUUUUUCAGAAUGAGAGAUACAAGUUGUAGUUUUGGCCUGACUUAUUUCUUUAUAAUUUUUGCCUCGUCAGUUUUAGUUUAGUUUGAAAUAAGUUCUGUCAUCGUUUGGUUGAAGUAUGCUUAAUUGUAGCUACAUUUUUUGAUUGAUGUUCACUUGUCUAUGAGCAUUUUAAGAAUUGAUGGGUCUAUAUUGGAUGAUAUCUUUGUGAUUUGAGAAUAGUGAAGCAUUUAGUUCAAAAGAACUUUUACAAUGUUGUCACAGAAGGAGUUCUAGUAUAAAUGUGUUGUCAAUAUUGCCUCCAGACUUUUGCUUGUAAUUUAAAGUUCUUAUGUUAUUUUUGUAGAAGUGUGCGACAUUCUGGGGCUAUAUAGGCUUUGUCUUGUUGAUUUUAUCUUGUACUCUAUAUAGGCUAUUUAUUACAUAGUUUUAAUUAUCCUUUUAUGUGAUUCUUUACAGAACUUCUGAAGGAUAAUAAGAUCAAUUAUUGGCAAGGAAUACUUGGAUUGUGGAAAGAUGGAUCCAUACAUAAAGCCUUGCUUCAGAAUUUAUUCUGGAAUUUAAGGGAAUUCGUUUAGAUUAGAAGUGAAUUUGACAUAGUUCCAUGUUAAAAUUACUUUAUCUUUUAUGAUUUAAUUUGAAUUACAUUUUAUUUGAGAUAUAAUAGAUCAUUUAAUUUGAACUCUUAACUUGUAAGGAGAACCC